AGAAAUGUUCAGUUUCUCAUAAAUAAUGAUGUUGAACAUAAGAUUUAUUUUAGCCAAAAAUAGAAAUUUUUUUUCUAUUCUGAAUUUGCUGAGAUUUUUUUUAUUACUGAUUGUUCAAAUUCGUCAAAUGUUUUUUCUCAAUCAUUUGAUAUGAUCAUUAUAUGUUGCUUCUAUAUUCUGUUGAUAUGAUAUGUCAUAUUAAUUUGAGAUUUGAAUAUUUAGCCAGACUUGCAUCCAUGGAAUAAUCCCCAGUUGGUCAUGGCAUGUGAUUUUGUCUACCAUUAUUCCAUUUGCUAGUGUUUUGUUGAGGAAAAUUUCCCUGAUUUCAUUAAUUAUAAGGAAGCUGUAGUUUUCUUCAUUGCUUUUGGACUGUCUUCAUCUGGUGUCAGGGUGGUGCUCAUCUCCCAAUAUGAAUGGGGAACCAUUCUUUUCUUUUCAGUUAUUUGGAAGAUAAUUUGUAGAAUUGGUGUAAUUCCCGUAAUGCUUGGUAGUAUUCUCCAGUGAAGCAUUUGGACCUGGAGGUUUUUCUUUAAGAUGUUUAAUUAUAUAUUUAUUUUAUUUUAUAUGUAUAGAACUUAUAAGAGUAUUUCAUAUUGGAUAAAUUAUCAUGGUUCUUUUCAAGGAAUUGUUUUAUUUCAUGCAAAUUAUUUAAUUUGUUUGAACUAUUUUCUAUUAUCCUUUGAUUGCAGCAGGAUAUGUUCUUAUAUGCCCUGUUUUACUUCUGAUAUUGGAAAUAUAUCCAUUUUCUCUCUCUCUUCUUUGUUUCACAGUACUCUGGAUGGAACCCCAGGGUGCUCUAAUGCUGAGCUCCAUCCCCAGCCCUUUUUGUUUUGAGACAGGGUCUUCCCUAAGUUGCCCUGGCUGGUCUUGAACUUAUGAACUUCCUGCCUCAGCCUCUUCAGUAGCUGGGAGUGUAUCCAUUAUAGCCAUUCUCUUUUUGUCUUUGUAAUCUUUUUAGAUUUUUUCAAUUUUCUCAGUUAUUUAAAAUUGUAUCGAUUUUUUUUCUCUACUAUGUGUUCUUAAUUCAACCCAUUUCUUGGAUCUGUGUUAUAUCCUUUCUUCCACCUAAUUUAUUUAUAUUUGGCUCUAAUUAAUUUCUCAAAGUGGGUGCUUCUUGAUUUGAAGCCUUUUUCUUUUCUAAUGUAAGCAUGAAAUUCUUUGAAUUUGAAUCACAGUACUGUUAGC
Molecule: long non-coding RNA, 1185 nt
Filed under: Marmota monax (woodchuck)
Lineage: Eukaryota; Metazoa; Chordata; Mammalia; Rodentia; Sciuridae
Source: RNAcentral